AGCGAACGCUGGCGGCAGGCUUAACACAUGCAAGUCGAACGGGCGUAGCAAUACGUCAGUGGCAGACGGGUGAGUAACACGUGGGAACAUACCUCUUGGUUCGGAACAACACAGGGAAACUUGUGCUAAUACCGGAUAAGCCCUUACGGGGAAAGAUUUAUCGCCGAGAGAUUGGCCCGCGUCUGAUUAGCUAGUUGGUA
RNAcentral lists this ribosomal RNA (200 nucleotides) under uncultured bacterium. RNAcentral describes it as "partial 16S ribosomal RNA". It matches the Rfam family "Bacterial small subunit ribosomal RNA", at positions 29 to 254 of the family's 1533-position model. The record is from RNAcentral.